This 305-nucleotide ribosomal RNA is filed under the name uncultured bacterium. Its description in RNAcentral is "bacterial SSU rRNA". It matches the Rfam family "Bacterial small subunit ribosomal RNA", at positions 337 to 639 of the family's 1533-position model. The record is from RNAcentral.
UCCUACGGGGCGCAGCAGUGAGGUAUAUUGGUCAAUGGUCGGGAGACUGAACCAGCCAAGCCGCGUGAGGGAGGAAGGUACAGAGUAUUGUAAACCUCUUUUGUCAGGGAACAAAGACUGGGACGCGUCCCCGGAUGAGUGUACCUGAAGAAAAAGCAUCGGCUAACUCCGUGCCAGCAGCCGCGGUAAUACGGAGGAUCCGAGCGUUAUCCGGAUUUAUUGGGUUUAAAGGGAGCGUAGGUGGAUUGUUAAGUCAGUUGUGAAAGUUUGCGGCUCAACCGUAAAAUUGCAGUUGAAACCGGCAG